This 601-nucleotide ribosomal RNA is filed under the name Acetobacterium sp. enrichment culture clone SB2-9. RNAcentral's name for it is "bacterial SSU rRNA". It matches the Rfam family "Bacterial small subunit ribosomal RNA", at positions 28 to 628 of the family's 1533-position model. Lineage: Bacteria; Bacillati; Bacillota; Clostridia; Eubacteriales; Eubacteriaceae. The record is from RNAcentral.
GACGAACGCUGGCGGUAUGCUUAACACAUGCAAGUCGAACGAGAAGAUUAUGAUUGAGCCUUCGGGUGAGAGAAUAAUUGGAAAGUGGCGAACGGGUGAGUAACGCGUGGGUAACCUGCCCUAUGGAAAGGAAUAGCCUCGGGAAACUGGGAGUAAUGCCUUAUGAAAUAGAGAAGUCGCAUGGCUUUUCUAUCAAACGCUCCGGUGCCAUAGGAUGGACCCGCGUCCCAUUAGCUAGUUGGUGAGGUAACGGCUCACCAAGGCAACGAUGGGUAACCGGUCUGAGAGGGCGAACGGUCACACUGGAACUGAGACACGGUCCAGACUCCUACGGGAGGCAGCAGUGGGGAAUAUUGCGCAAUGGGGGAAACCCUGACGCAGCAAUACCGCGUGAAUGAAGAAGGUCUUCGGAUCGUAAAGUUCUGUUAUUGGGGAAGAACAAAGACGGUACCCAAGGAGAAAGUCCCGGCUAACUACGUGCCAGCAGCCGCGGUAAUACGUAGGGGACAAGCGUUGUCCGGAUUUACUGGGUUUAAAGGGUGCGCAGGCGGAACGAUCAGUCAGUGGUGAAAUCUCCCGGCUUAACCGGGAAACUGCCAUU